Molecule: ribosomal RNA, 251 nt
Filed under: Escherichia coli
Lineage: Bacteria; Pseudomonadati; Pseudomonadota; Gammaproteobacteria; Enterobacterales; Enterobacteriaceae
Also listed under: 1 other name
Description: partial 16S ribosomal RNA
Rfam family: Bacterial small subunit ribosomal RNA
Source: RNAcentral
AAAUUGAAGAGUUUGAUCAUGGCUCAGAUUGAACGCUGGCGGCAGGCCUAACACAUGCAAGUCGAACGGUAACAGGAAACAGCUUGCUGUUUCGCUGACGAGUGGCGGACGGGUGAGUAAUGUCUGGGAAACUGCCUGAUGGAGGGGGAUAACUACUGGAAACGGUAGCUAAUACCGCAUAAUGUCGCAAGACUAAAGAGGGGGACCUUCGGGCCUCUUGCCAUCGGAUGUGCCCAGAUGGGAUUAGCUAG